CGAGGGGAAUGCAGAGACCUGUGUCUCAGAUGGUGCCACCCAAAGUGGCAGAGCCCGUGUCAGCGGUGGGACAGGGCCCUGCCGAACCACCCCGGGAGCACAGCGUGGGAAGAAAUGCGCGCUUGACAAGCGAAGCCCCGUGUGUUCGCCCGUCUGAUGGCAACAGCUGCGCGUCCUUCCGUCUUCCACUCUAGUGGGGGAGGCCAGGGUCAGAACAUGCCUGAGAAAGCAGAUAAACAAAGGAGACAGGGCCAGGGAGGUCCCACACGGAGAAUGAAGUCAGGUGACUUGGCAGAAGGCAAGGGCAGGGACAUUCGUCAGAGAAGCACGAAUGCGAAGGCCGAAAGGGAAGCAAGCCUGGGGAGCUGGAAACCUGAAUAAGACCUGCGGGGCCACAUGGAGGCGAGGGGAAGUCAGAAGCAGUGAGGGUGGAGCCCCGCGGAGCCUGUAAGUCCCUGUGAGGGCUCCGGACUUUGUGCCGUUCUCCGCACCCCUCAGGCCCGGUGGAGUGCGUGACCCCUACGCCGGGCCCGCAUCAUUUUGGCUCCACAGCUGCCUUUACUCCCAAUUACUGCUUGAUCCGGGUUGUGCUCUGGAUCGAUGAGAUUGUCAGCAAGCUCCAGGCAGCCAAGGGGGCCCUGUGUCCGGGAGAGAAUGCCUUGCCUGGCAGAAGAUGGCUGAGAGGAUCAGGUGAAUCCUAAGUGGAUGAGCGUUGGGCCAAUCAGGGUUCAUGCGCGAGCAGCCACAGUCCAUCUGCUGCAGCCACGUCCUUGAGGAAACCCGUCAAAUCAGGAGCAGCAGCUCUCCAGGCCCCUUCAUUCCAGGACAGUCGGCAGAGAACUAGCAGAACCAGAUAUGCAGCUCCAGGAGGGAGACCUGACCCUUGCACGUGGGCUCCU
This 899-nucleotide long non-coding RNA is filed under the name Homo sapiens (human). RNAcentral describes it as "HSALNT0131392". The record is from RNAcentral. Lineage: Eukaryota; Metazoa; Chordata; Mammalia; Primates; Hominidae.